AAGUCGUAACAAGGUUUCCGUAGGUGAACCUGCGGAAGGAUCAUUAACACGUAUCCAAACGUUAAAACCCCCCCCCGUGAACCUUCAUCCUGCUCUUGUAACCCGCGUAGUUGGCUACGUGCGAACAUUGGAACAGUUACAAUCGAGCGGUAGUUCUAUAGGCAAUGUUUCCCCAAGCAGUCAGUGUCGGAAAGUGUCAUUGAUUGUGCAAGGAUAGCGCUUCUACGAUUCCUGUAGACCGUACACUCGGGCAGGAGCUUUGCCAAAGGGUCCCCAUGCCCCCUAAUAACCCCACAGUUUAAUGUGAAGCUCAAUGUAAUACAUUGGGUAAAAAAACCGAACAACUGUUAACAAUGGAUAUCUUGGUUCUC
Molecule: unclassified non-coding RNA, 371 nt
Filed under: fungal sp.
Lineage: Eukaryota; Fungi
Description: partial internal transcribed spacer region
Rfam family: Eukaryotic small subunit ribosomal RNA (bases 1-46)
Source: RNAcentral